RNAcentral lists this ribosomal RNA (497 nucleotides) under uncultured bacterium. RNAcentral's name for it is "partial 16S ribosomal RNA". It matches the Rfam family "Bacterial small subunit ribosomal RNA", at positions 28 to 507 of the family's 1533-position model. The record is from RNAcentral.
GACGAACGCUGGCGGCGUGCCUAAUACAUGCAAGUUGAGCGCUUAAUAUUGGUGCUUGCCCCACUUUGAAGAGCAGCGAACGGGUGAGUAACGCGUGGGAAAUCGUCCUUUAAGCGGGGGACAAAAUUUGGAAACGAAUGCUAAUACCGCAUAACAACUUUAAACAUAAUAUUUAAGUUUGAAAGAUGCAAUUGCAUCACUCAAGGAUGAUCCCCCGUUGUAUUAGCUAGUUGGUGAGGUAAAGGCUCACCAAGGCGAUGAUACAUAGCCGACCUGAGAGGGGGGUCGGCCACAUUGGGAAUGAGACACGGCCCAAACUCCUACGGGAGGCAGCAGUAGGGAAUCUUCGGCAAUGGAAGAAAGGCUGACCGAGCAACGCCGAGGGAGUGAAGAAGGUUGUCGGAUCCGAAAAACCUGGUGGUAGAGAAGAAAGUUGGUGAGAGGGGAAAGAUCAUCAAGUGACGGUAACUACCCAGAAAGGGACGGCUAACUACGUG